This 301-nucleotide ribosomal RNA is filed under the name uncultured bacterium. RNAcentral's name for it is "partial 16S ribosomal RNA". It matches the Rfam family "Bacterial small subunit ribosomal RNA", at positions 509 to 807 of the family's 1533-position model. The record is from RNAcentral.
CAGUCGCCGCGGGAAUACAGAGGGUGCGAGCGUUAAUCGGAUUUACUGGGCGUAAAGCGUGCGUAGGCGGCUUCUUAAGUCGGAUGUGAAAUCCCUGAGCUUAACUUAGGAAUUGCAUUCGAUACUGGGAAGCUAGAGUAUGGGAGAGGAUGGUAGAAUUCCAGGUGUAGCGGUGAAAUGCGUAGAGAUCUGGAGGAAUACCGAUGGCGAAGGCAGCCAUCUGGCCUAAUACUGACGCUGAGGUACGAAAGCAUGGGGAGCAAACAGGAUUAGAUACCCCAGUAGUCCCUGUAUCUUAUAC